CGCUGAAGGAAGGAGCUUGCUCUUUCCGGAUGAGUUGCGAACGGGUGAGUAACGCGUAGGUAACCUGCCUGGUAGCGGGGGAUAACUAUUGGAAACGAUAGCUAAUACCGCAUAACAGUAGAUAUCGCAUGAUAUCUGCUUGAAAGGUGCAAUUGCAUCACUACCAGAUGGACCUGCGUUGUAUUAGCUAGUUGGUGAGGUAACGGCUCACCAAGGCGACGAUACAUAGCCGACCUGAGAGGGUGAUCGGCCACACUGGGACUGAGACACGGCCCAGACUCCUACGGGAGGCAGCAGUAGGGAAUCUUCGGCAAUGGACGGAAGUCUGACCGAGCAACGCCGCGUGAGUGAAGAAGGUUUUCGGAUCGUAAAGCUCUGUUGUAAGAGAAGAACGAGUGUGAGAGUGGAAAGUUCACACUGUGACGGUAUCUUACCAGAAAGGGACGGCUAACUACGUGCCAGCAGCCGCGGUAAUACGUAGGUCCCGAGCGUUGUCCGGAUUUAUUGGGCGUAAAGCGAGCGCAGGCGGUUAGAUAAGUCUGAAGUUAAAGGCUGUGGCUUAACCAUAGUACGCUUUGGAAACUGUUUAACUUGAGUGCAAGAGGGGAGAGUGGAAUUCCAUGUGUAGCGGUGAAAUGCGUAGAUAUAUGGAGGAACACCGGUGGCGAAAGCGGCUCUCUGGCUUGU
Molecule: ribosomal RNA, 687 nt
Filed under: uncultured Bacilli bacterium
Lineage: Bacteria; Bacillati; Bacillota; Bacilli
Description: bacterial SSU rRNA
Rfam family: Bacterial small subunit ribosomal RNA
Source: RNAcentral